AUGACGUGGGAAAGGGCAUGGAGCUUCCUGAUGGACAGGGGAAGGAAUUCACCACUGGGAAUGAAUGGUGCUGAUGCCCAGGAGUAUUUUGCUUGUAUAAUUACCAUGCUGAGGUUACAAAGGAGGGAUAGAAGAGGCCCCUGUGGUCAUCCAGGCUGUCUUCCCUCACACUGCUGGCUGGGACAUGUGGCUGACUGCAGUGAAUGGCAAGGACAUUCCAGAAAACAACAGUCCUGACACAAACAAAACCAGAAUUGUAACACGGUGACAACAAGCAAUGAAAGGCGCAAGCUUUGAGGUGAAUUAAGUUCGUGAAGGUGGAAGCCAAGCCCAGCGACAUCAGAGGCUGCUGUGGAGGAGAAUUAAAUUAACAGGGUAAAAUAUCUCCUGUUUAAGGUUGGCCUCAGGCAAGAAUGAGUUUGUCAGUGUAAUAUGUUGUUGAAUUUUAAUAUGGAAAUGUCUCCUGGCAUGUAUUUCGAACACACUACAAACAGUGAUAUUGAUCUAACCUUCAAUUAAUGGGAGAGGUCCUCUGUGAAAAUUGGAUCUGGGUUUGAAUGGCAAAUAGGUUUAAUAUUCUGAUGACAGUGGAUCAUUUGCACAGCUCAGUAAGGACUAUAAAUCACCAGGAUUAGGGCUUUUUUUUUUUAUUAUCAUUUUAAUGCAGGCUUGUUUUCCCUGGAGCAAGGGGCCAGGAGUGUGGUAAAUCAUUAAAAAAUCAUGGAGCUGGUGUCAGUAGGUAUGGACAACAAAUAAUCUACUUGUGCUAAAUGAAUUAUUUGAAAUCCAUUCACUCCUGCUCUCUGUUGCUGUGUUUUUUAGAUGUGUGCUCUCUUUUGGGAUAGAAUGAUUGCUCUCCCUUUAG
RNAcentral lists this long non-coding RNA (865 nucleotides) under Parus major (Great Tit). RNAcentral describes it as "lncRNA (ENSPMJG00000007519.1)". Lineage: Eukaryota; Metazoa; Chordata; Aves; Passeriformes; Paridae. The record is from RNAcentral.